GCUAACGGCGAUAGCACGUUGAACGCAAAAAUUCCCGAUGGAUCAUCGAAGUUAAGCAACGUUGCUCGUGCCUGAUAUCCAGAUGAGUGGCCAUGGUCAACUGAGAAAUCGCGUGCUCCUGGCU
This 124-nucleotide ribosomal RNA is filed under the name Diaphorina citri (Asian citrus psyllid). Lineage: Eukaryota; Metazoa; Arthropoda; Insecta; Hemiptera; Psyllidae. The record is from RNAcentral.